RNAcentral lists this ribosomal RNA (253 nucleotides) under uncultured bacterium. Its description in RNAcentral is "partial 16S ribosomal RNA". It matches the Rfam family "Bacterial small subunit ribosomal RNA", at positions 524 to 776 of the family's 1533-position model. The record is from RNAcentral. RNAcentral also lists the same sequence under 1 other name.
UACGGAGGGUGCAAGCGUUGUCCGGAUUUAUUGGGUUUAAAGGGUGCGUAGGCGGCCCUAUAAGUCAGUGGUGAAAUACUGCAGCUCAACUGUAGGAUUGCCAUUGAUACUGUAGGGCUUGAGUACAGAUGAGGUAGGCGGAAUUUAUGGUGUAGCGGUGAAAUGCAUAGAUACCAUAAAGAACACCUAUUGCGAAGGCAGCUUACUAAGCUGUAACUGACGCUGAGGCACGAAAGCGUGGGUAGCGAACAGG